RNAcentral lists this ribosomal RNA (721 nucleotides) under uncultured archaeon. RNAcentral's name for it is "bacterial SSU rRNA". It matches the Rfam family "Archaeal small subunit ribosomal RNA", at positions 174 to 895 of the family's 1478-position model. The record is from RNAcentral.
AACGGUUUAUGUUUCAAAUGAUUUAUCGCCGUAGGAUGGGACUGCGGCCUAUCAGUUUUGUUGGUGAGGUAAUGGCCCACCAAGACUAUUACAGGUACGGGCUCUGAGAGGAGUAGCCCGGAGAUGGGUACUGAGACACGGACCCAGGCCCUAUGGGGCGCAGCAGGCGAGAAAACUUUGCAAUGUGCGAAAGCACGACAAGGUUAAUCCGAGUGGUUUCUGCUAAAGAAACCUUUUGCUAGUCCUAGAAACACUAGUGAAUAAGGGGUGGGCAAGUUCUGGUGUCAGCCGCCGCGGUAAAACCAGCACCUCAAGUGGUCAGGAUGAUUAUUGGGCCUAAAGCAUCCGUAGCUCGUUUUGUAAGUUUUCGGUUAAAUCCAUACGCUCAACGUAUGGGCUGCCGGGAAUACUGCAUAACUAGGAAGUGGGAGAGGUAGACGGUACUCGGUAGGAAGGGGUAAAAUCCUUUGAUCUAUUGAUGACCACCUGUGGCGAAGGCGGUCUACCAGAACACGUUCGACGGUGAGGGAUGAAAGCUGGGGGAGCAAACCGGAUUAGAUACCCGGGUAGUCCCAGCUGUAAACUAUGCAAACUCAGUGAUGCAUUGGCUUGUGGCCAAUGCGGUGCUGCAGGGAAGCCGUUAAGUUUGCCGCCUGGGAAGUACGUACGCAAGUAUGAAACUUAAAGGAAUUGGCGGGGGAGCACCACAAGGGGUGAAGCC